This 75-nucleotide transfer RNA is filed under the name Sphingobacteriales bacterium. RNAcentral's name for it is "tRNA-Lys". It matches the Rfam family "tRNA". From Rfam's summary of the family: Transfer RNA (tRNA) molecules are approximately 80 nucleotides in length. Their secondary structure includes four short double-helical elements and three loops (D, anti-codon, and T loops). Lineage: Bacteria; Pseudomonadati; Bacteroidota; Sphingobacteriia; Sphingobacteriales. The record is from RNAcentral.
UGGCUUGUAGCUCAAAGGCAGAGUAUCCCGCUCUUAACGGGAGGGUUGUGGGUUCGAAUCCCACCAGGCCAACUA